AUAUACANUUGAGGCAAAGGGCCAGCCUGUGAAGACCAUGAGCUCUGAGAGGUGGCAGAUAGAGCAAAGAUGCAAAUAAUGUGCUCUCUGAGGGAUCUGUGCCCUUCUCAUUGAAUUCCAGGAACUGGAUCUUGGGCCUCUCUGCGUUAGGCAACCAGGAACAAGUUCCACCAGCGUUGAAGGUAGGUGGGAGGUAAGUAAGAAGAAGACAUGAGGUGGGGAGAGUCCUGAAAACACAGGUCAGUGUUUGGAAGCAUCUCAAGGUGCCUGGGAUGGGGAAUAGCCAUCUAGAGUUCAGGAGUGGAAGUUUUAGAAUGAGAUGCACCUGUGUCUAACUUUAAGCCUUCUGCUUACUUCCCCAGGACCUUGGGUCAUGCACUUACUACUGUAUCUGUACCCAAUGAGCUGUGAAGUGGAGAUAAUAAUAGUGCAAUACCUAUCUGUUGAGGUUGUUGUAAGGAUGGCAUGGCUAAUGCAUUUGAGGAUGUCAGCAGGGCACUGAUACAUGGAAAGAAUGUGAAUGGUGUCUCCUGGAGCUGCACACUGCAGUGUCCCUCAACAUCAGCAUGAAUACUGAGCUUAGCUGUAUUGGACUUCACUGCUUAUCCCACAUUUUUCUGCCAGCAAUACUGAGAAGAGACCACAUAGGGGUUAUUUGUCCCCAAUUUCCAUUGAGUCAACUGGGGCUUGGAGGGUGUCAACUCAUGUCUUUACCCCUUUUGCAGCAUUAUAUGUCCGUUAGUUGGUUUUAUACAGCAGGAGUAAUUUCAUGUAUAUGAAAAUAUGUCAUAAUGUAUCACCGUAUUCUUCCCACUCAAAUUCAGUAAAUAUUGACAUUUUGCUUUUUUGCUCUAGACAAUAAAAGAGAUAAACUACUAUAAAGGUCACCUUCUCCUCCAUCAGCUCCUCCUUCCUUGAUUAUGA
RNAcentral lists this long non-coding RNA (924 nucleotides) under Marmota monax (woodchuck). The record is from RNAcentral. Lineage: Eukaryota; Metazoa; Chordata; Mammalia; Rodentia; Sciuridae.